RNAcentral lists this ribosomal RNA (328 nucleotides) under uncultured Clostridiaceae bacterium. RNAcentral describes it as "bacterial SSU rRNA". It matches the Rfam family "Bacterial small subunit ribosomal RNA", at positions 28 to 339 of the family's 1533-position model. The record is from RNAcentral. Lineage: Bacteria; Bacillati; Bacillota; Clostridia; Eubacteriales; Clostridiaceae.
GAUGAACGCUGGCGGCGUGCCUAAUACAUGCAAGUCGAGCGAGAAGCUCGCCAAUGAGACUUCGGUGGAUUUGGCGGGUGGAAAGCGGCGGACGGGUGAGUAACGCGUAGGCAACCUGCCCUUUGCACAGGGAUAGCCACUGGAAACGGUGAUUAAUACCUGAUAAUGCGAACCUAUCGCCUGAUAGGAUCGCCAAAGAUUUAUUGGCAAAGGAUGGGCCUGCGUCUGAUUAGCUUGUUGGUGGGGUAACGGCUCACCAAGGCGACGAUCAGUAGCCGACCUGAGAGGGUGAUCGGCCACAUUGGAACUGAGACACGGUCCAAACUCC